GCCGAUGUAGCUCCAAUUGGUAGAGCGGGGAACUUGUAAUUCUUAGGUUUGCGGUUCGAGUCCGUACAUCGGCA
This 74-nucleotide transfer RNA is filed under the name bacterium. Its description in RNAcentral is "tRNA-Thr". It matches the Rfam family "tRNA". From Rfam's summary of the family: Transfer RNA (tRNA) molecules are approximately 80 nucleotides in length. RNAcentral also lists the same sequence under 1 other name. The record is from RNAcentral.